RNAcentral lists this unclassified non-coding RNA (341 nucleotides) under fungal sp. Its description in RNAcentral is "partial internal transcribed spacer region". The stretch from base 1 to 45 matches the Rfam family "Eukaryotic small subunit ribosomal RNA", at positions 1787 to 1831 of the family's 1831-position model. Lineage: Eukaryota; Fungi. The record is from RNAcentral.
AGUCGUAACAAGGUAUCCGUAGGUGAACCUGCGGAUGGAUCAUUAACACACACAUACACUAUUUUCCUUUUUCGUAAUCUCUUUGAGAGAUUAUGAAAAAGGAAAAUAAGCCCUAAAGCGAACUGUUAAAGUCCCUUAACAAAAACACACAAACCACAUUAACGAUUUAUCUAAGACAUUCGCUUUUCUAUCUGUUUUCUCUCUCGCUCGCUCUCUCUCUCCUUCUUCUGCUUCAAAACAGAGACGGAGUAAAAGCGAAGAGGAGAAGAAGAAAGAAAGAAAAGCAAACACAUUAACAACAAAAAGACACAAUUUUUGACAAUGGAUAUCUUGGCUCGCUG